UGCAGUCGAGCGGCAGCGCGGGGGCAACCCUGGCGGCGAGCGGCGAACGGGUGAGUAAUACAUCGGAACGUACCCCGUAGUGGGGGAUAACUCAGCGAAAGCUGGGCUAAUACCGCAUAUGCUCUACGGAGGAAAGUGGGGGACCUGCAAGGGCCUCAUGCUAUGGGAGCGGCCGAUGUCCGAUUAGCUAGUUGGUGGGGUAAAGGCUUACCAAGGCGACGAUCGGUAGCUGGUCUGAGAGGAUGAUCAGCCACACUGGGACUGAGACACGGCCCAGACUCCUACGGGAGGCAGCAGUGGGGAAUUUUGGACAAUGGGGGCAACCCUGAUCCAGCCAUGCCGCGUGCGGGAAGAAGGCCUUCGGGUUGUAAACCGCUUUUGUCUGGGAAGAAAAGGCGCUCUCUAAUACGGGGCGUUCUUGACGGUACUGGAAGAAUAAGCACCGGCUAACUACGUGCCAGCAGCCGCGGUAAUACGUAGGGUGCGAGCGUUAAUCGGAAUUACUGGGCGUAAAGCGUGCGCAGGCGGUUUGUUAAGUCUGCUGUGAAAGCCCCGGGCUCAACCUGGGAAUGGCAGUGGAAACUGGCGAGCUGGAGUGUGGCAGAGGGGGGUGGAAUUCCACGUGUAGCAGUGAAAUGCGUAGAGAUGUGGAGGAACACCGAUGGCGAAGGCAGCCCCCUGGGCUGACACUGACGCUCAGGCACGAAAGCGUGGGGAGCAAACAGGAUUAGAUACCCUGUAGUCCACGCCCUAAACGAUGGCCACUGGGUGUUGGGGGAGCGAUUCCUCAGUACCGUAGCUAACGCGUGAAGUGGCCCGCCUGGGGAGUACGGCGCAAGGUUAAAACUCAAAGGAAUUGACGGGGACCGCACAAGCGG
Molecule: ribosomal RNA, 878 nt
Filed under: uncultured beta proteobacterium
Lineage: Bacteria; Pseudomonadati; Pseudomonadota; Betaproteobacteria
Description: bacterial SSU rRNA
Rfam family: Bacterial small subunit ribosomal RNA
Source: RNAcentral